GAAACUGCGAAUGGCUCAUUAAAUCAGUUAUCGUUUAUUUGAUAGUACCUUACUACUUGGAUAACCGUGGUAAUUCUAGAGCUAAUACAUGCUAAAAACCCCGACUUUUGAAGGGGUGUAUUUAUUAGAUAAAAAACCAAUGCCCUUCGGGGCUUUUUGGUGAUUCAUGAUAACUUAACGAAUCGCAUGGCCUUGCGCUGGCGAUGGUUCAUUCAAAUUUCUGCCCUAUCAACUUUCGAUGGUAGGAUAGUGGCCUACCAUGGUUUCAACGGGUAACGGGGAAUUAGGGUUCGAUUCCGGAGAGGGAGCCUGAGAAACGGCUACCACAUCCAAGGAAGGCAGCAGGCGCGCAAAUUACCCAAUCCCGACACGGGGAGGUAGUGACAAUAAAUACUGAUACAGGGCCCUUUUGGGUCUUGUAAUUGGAAUGAGUACAAUUUAAAUCCCUUAACGAGGAACAAUUGGAGGGCAAGUCUGGUGCCAGCAGCCGCGGUAAUUCCAGCUCCAAUAGCGUAUAUUAAAGUUGUUGCAGUUAAAAAGCUCGUAGUUGAACCUUGGGCCUGGCUGGCCGGUCCGCCUCACCGCGUGCACUGGUUUGGCCGGGCCUUUCCUUCUGGGAAUCUGCAUGCCCUUUACUGGGUGUGUUUGGGAACCAGGACUUUUACUUUGAAAAAAUUAGAGUGUUCAAAGCAGGCCUUUGCUCGAAUACAUUAGCAUGGAAUAAUAGAAUAGGACGUGCGGUCCUAUUUUGUUGGUUUCUAGGACCGCCGUAAUGAUUAAUAGGGGUAGUCGGGGGCAUCAGUAUUCAAUUGUCAGAGGUGAAAUUCUUGGAUUUAUUGAAGACUAACUACUGCGAAAGCAUUUGCCAAGGAUGUUUUCAUUAAUCAGUGAACGAAAGUUAGGGGAUCGAAGACGAUCAGAUACCGUCGUAGUCUUAACCGUAAACUAUGCCGACUAGGGAUCGGGCGAUGUUAUUAUUUUGACUCGCUCGGCACCUUACGAGAAAUCAAAGUCUUUGGGUUCG
RNAcentral lists this ribosomal RNA (1024 nucleotides) under Mytilinidion resinicola. Its description in RNAcentral is "SSU rRNA". It matches the Rfam family "Eukaryotic small subunit ribosomal RNA", at positions 83 to 1115 of the family's 1831-position model. Lineage: Eukaryota; Fungi; Ascomycota; Dothideomycetes; Mytilinidiales; Mytilinidiaceae. The record is from RNAcentral.